CUCACACCUAUGUGUGUAGGACUCCAAAGGAUCACCAUUAAAUUUGACAAAGAUAUUUAGAAAAGUUAUCACAUGGGUGUAGGACUUGACUUUUCUAGAGAUCUGUGUCAAAUUUAAUGGCGAUCUUUUGAGGUUCUACACACAUAGGUGUAGG
Molecule: microRNA precursor, 154 nt
Filed under: Amborella trichopoda
Lineage: Eukaryota; Viridiplantae; Streptophyta; Magnoliopsida; Amborellales; Amborellaceae
Description: MIR8565 microRNA precursor family
Rfam family: MIR8565 microRNA precursor family
Source: Rfam by way of RNAcentral